ACUCAUGCACCUUAACAUUCUCAUUAUGGACUUUCUCUUUCUCUAAGAUUCUUGCAGUAACAUUUGGUGAAAGAGUUGAAAAUCAAAAGGCAGUUUCUCAUUUUUUGAGGCCAAUAAAGUGAAAAGUAGCCUAAUUUCUGCAUCAUGUUGAAGGUUUUGUGCAUCCAAGCAUAAAAUAAACAAUAAACAUGCACACGCAUUAGCGUUUGAAACAAAUGAAUUUCAAAAAAUUUUAUGGAAUUCAUUUCUAAAUCAAGGAUUUCGUGUUCGGAACAAAAAAAAGAAAAAAAAAUCAACAUAACUUACCCAAAUUCUAUUUAUAUCAAGUUAAUGAAAACCAAUAUUUAAGUAUUUUCAGGAACUCUCUAGUUGUCUUCUUAGCAAAUCAGAGCUGCAUUAUAAGAUGGAAACAUAGCAUGCAAUAGUAAUUAACAAGUUAUAGUGAUCAAGUCUAAACGAAUGGAGAACAUAAGAGCUUCUAUUGAUCCUAAGAAGUGAUGGAAAGUGAUUUCCCCCUUAGUUUUAUAUUCCUGUAUCCCUUUCUCUCUCCCCCACCAAAUAAAGAGAAGGGAAGAGAGCUUUCAUUCCAUUUAUACCUUCCCUAACUUUCUUUUCCUGCAACCACAAGGAUUCCCAGAACAGGGCAUUAAACUCGAAAUUGAGCAUCAGGAAAUGAAUUUUAAUAUAAAAAAAAUUGAGCUCUCACGAGAUAAAUAAAAAUACCUUGUGAGACGCCCGCAGAUAGCAUCCGAUCCAUAUUAUCAAUACGGCGUUGUAUAGAUUUUAGGAGAGAGUUCAAUGAAGAAACUCUCUUUCUAACUCCUGAAAUCUUCGCAGCAUGCUGCAUAAUGAAGAGCAAGGGUGCAUCUUCUAACAACUGAUCAAGCUCUAAUACCAUUCACAGACAACAAAAAUUUUAUCUUUUAUAUACAUAUACAAGACAUUUUACAAUAAAUAGUUAACCCAGAAAAUAUUUCCACAUCGAAGAUAAUAUAGUUACCUCGGGUUAGACGAUCUAAGGCAGAAUCAAGUUGGUCUUGGCUUUUGAGAGUGUCUUGAGCUUUAGAAUCGAAAUCCCUUAUAAGACUGGCAAGCAUUGUAGAUAAACCCUUGGCUAAUGCAUCGCUGCUCUUGUUGAUUUCAUUUUCAGUGUUGGGCUUAGAUUGGUGAUCUUCAGGGUUGAUUUCACAGGGAUCCUUACUUCCAUUAGAUGAAACUGGAGGGUCUAUUUGAACAGAAACAGAGAUGCUACUUUUGUCGUUGGGAUCGAACGGAUCUUCUGGAGUCUCCAUUCUCAAGGGGGAUUUCGAGCAUCGGAGUGAGGAAGCAAAGGCGUGACAGGUGUUCAAGCGAGAAGAAAUUAGAAGACUCCAAUGGGCCAAAGA
Molecule: unclassified non-coding RNA, 1385 nt
Filed under: Hevea brasiliensis (rubber tree)
Lineage: Eukaryota; Viridiplantae; Streptophyta; Magnoliopsida; Malpighiales; Euphorbiaceae
Source: RNAcentral